UUAGGGGUUUCUGGUUUUUCAAGAAAUGAAUUUAAUUCAUACGUCUUAUUUAGAAUUUUAUUAUUUGUUUAUUUGUUUUUAUUUGACGUUAAGAUUGGGAGGGAUUAGCUUCUUAUUUUAUUUUUAUAAUUUUUUGUUUAUUUAAUCUUGUGGGUUUUAUAUUGAUUUUCAAUUUGAUUAUGUUAAAAUUUUAUUUGUUUUGUUCUUUAUUUUUGUUUAUUUAAUUAUUUAUUGAAAUGUGUUCUUUAUCUUGUUUUGGUUAGUAAUUAUUGUAGAAUUAGUAAAUUUUUUGUUAGAUUGUUUUAUUUGUGUUAAUUUUCUUUGAGGAACUAGGCAAAUAUCAUGUCCGCCUGUUUAACAAAAACAUCUUUUCUCGUUAGUUUUUGAAGUAUGGCCUGCCCGCUGACUUUGGUGUUGAAGGGCCGCGGUAUUUUGACCGUGCAAAGGUAGCAUAGUCAUUAGUUCUUUAAUUGUGAUCUGGUAUGAAUGGCUUGACGAGACAUGGGCUGUCUUAAUUUUGAAUUGUUUAUUGAAUUUGGUCUUUGAGUUAAAAUUCUUAGAUGUUUUUAUGGGACGAGAAGACCCUAUAGAGUUUAACAUUUAUUACGGUCCUUUUCUGUUUGUGAGGGUUCACUGGGCCGUCUAAUAUGUUUUGUUGGGGUGAUGGGAGGGAUUAAUUUAA
RNAcentral lists this ribosomal RNA (682 nucleotides) under Reticulitermes sp. 3 SD-2015. Its description in RNAcentral is "partial 16S ribosomal RNA". The stretch from base 342 to 504 matches the Rfam family "Archaeal large subunit ribosomal RNA", at positions 1883 to 2090 of the family's 2987-position model. Lineage: Eukaryota; Metazoa; Arthropoda; Insecta; Blattodea; Rhinotermitidae. The record is from RNAcentral.